UACGGGAGGCAGCAGUGGGGAAUAUUGGACAAUGGGGGCAACCCUGAUCCAGCGACGCCGCGUGAGCGAAGAAGUAUUUCGGUAUGUAAAGCUCUAUCAGCAGGGAAGAUAAUGACGGUACCUGACUAAGAAGCACCGGCUAAAUACGUGCCAGCAGCCGCGGUAAU
Molecule: ribosomal RNA, 167 nt
Filed under: uncultured rumen bacterium
Lineage: Bacteria
Description: partial 16S ribosomal RNA
Rfam family: Bacterial small subunit ribosomal RNA
Source: RNAcentral